GACGAACGCUGGUGGCGUGCUUAACACAUGCAAGUCGAACGGAAAGGCCCUGCUUGCAGGGUACUCGAGUGGCGAACGGGUGAGUAACACGUGGGUGAUCUGCCCUGCACUUCGGGAUAAGCCUGGGAAACUGGGUCUAAUACCGGAUAGGAGCCAUUUUUAGUGUGAUGGUUGGAAAGUUUUUUCGGUGUAGGAUGAGCUCGCGGCCUAUCAGCUUGUUGGUGGGGUAAUGGCCUACCAAGGCGGCGACGGGUAGCCGGCCUGAGAGGGUGGACGGCCACAUUGGGACUGAGAUACGGCCCAGACUCCUACGGGAGGCAGCAGUGGGGAAUAUUGCACAAUGGGCGCAAGCCUGAUGCAGCGACGCCGCGUGGGGGAUGACGGCCUUCGGGUUGUAAACGCCUUUCGCUAGGGACGAAGCUUUUUGUGACGGUACCUAGAUAAGAAGCACCGGCUAACUACGUG
This 465-nucleotide ribosomal RNA is filed under the name uncultured bacterium. RNAcentral describes it as "partial 16S ribosomal RNA". It matches the Rfam family "Bacterial small subunit ribosomal RNA", at positions 28 to 507 of the family's 1533-position model. The record is from RNAcentral.